GACGAACGCUGGCGGCGUGCUUAACACAUGCAAGUCGAACGGUAAGGCCCUUCGGGGUACACGAGUGGCGAACGGGUGAGUAACACGUGGGUGAUCUGCCCUGCACUUCGGGAUAAGCCUGGGAAACUGGGUCUAAUACCGGAUAGGACCACUGCCUGCAUGGGUGGUGGUGGAAAGCUUUUGCGGUGUAGGAUGGGCCCGCGGCCUAUCAGCUUGUUGGUGGGGUAAUGGCCUGCCAAGGCGACGACGGGUAGCCGGCCUGAGAGGGUGACCGGCCACACUGGGACUGAGAUACGGCCCAGACUCCUACGGGAGGCAGCAGUGGGGAAUCUUGCGCAAUGAGCGACAGCUUGACGCAGCAACGCCGCGUGGGGGAUGACGGCCUUCGGGUUGUAAACCUCUUUCAGCACCGACGAAGCGCAAGUGACGGUAGGUGCAGAAGAAGGACCGGCCAACUACGUGCCAGCAGCCGCCGUAA
Molecule: ribosomal RNA, 478 nt
Filed under: uncultured bacterium
Lineage: Bacteria
Description: partial 16S ribosomal RNA
Rfam family: Bacterial small subunit ribosomal RNA
Source: RNAcentral